UUGAUCCUGCCGGAGGAUACCGCUAUUGGAGUUCGGUUAAGCCAUGCAAGUCAGGGCACCUAGAGUGCCCGGCGUACGGCUCAGCAACACGUGGAUAAUCUACCCUAUAGUAGCGGAUAACCUCGGGAAACUGAGGAUAAUACGUUAUGGGAAAUCGAUACUGGAACGUUCUUUUUCCGAAAGCCUUCGGGCGCUAUAGGAUGAGUCUGCGGCGGAUUAGGCUGUUGGUGAGGUAAUGGCCCACCAAACCUUUGAUCUGUAUGGGGUGUGAGAGCACUGGCCCAGAGAAUGGUACUGAGACAAGGACCAUAGCCCUACGGGGUGCAGCAGGCGCGAAAACUCUACAAUGCGCGAAAGCGUGAUAGGGGAACUCCAAGUGCCGGCUUUUGCCGGCUUUUGCCAAGUUUAGAUGGCUUGGCGAAUAAGGACUGGGUAAGACCCGUGCCAGCCGCCGCGGUAAUACGGGCAGUCCAAGUGGUUUCCACGCAUAUUGGGCCUAAAACGUGCGUAGCCGGCCUAGAAAGUCUCUGGUGAAAUCUGGCAGCUUAACUGUCAGGCGUGCCAAAGAAACUUCAAGGCUUGGAGCCGGGAAGGGUUGGAGGAAUUCCUAGGGUAGGAGUAAAAUCCUGUGAUCCUUGGAGGACCAUCGGUGGCGAAGGCGUCCAACUGGAACGGGCUCGACGGUGAGGUACGAAAGCUAGGGGAGCAACCCGGAUUAGAUACCCGGUUAGUCCUAGCCGUAAAUGAUGCUGGUUUGGUGUGACACAACCCACGCGGUUGUGUUGUGCCGUAGGGAAGCCGUUAAGCCAGCUGCCUGGGAAGUACGACCGCAAGGUUGAAACNUAAAGGAAUUGGCGGGGGAGUACUACAAGGGGUGGAGGCUGCGGUUUAAUCGGAUACAACGCCGAACAUCUCACCAGGAUCGACAGCAGAAUGACGGUCAGUCCGAAGGGCUUACUUGACACGCUGAGAGCUGGUGCAUGGCCACCGCCAGCUCGUGCUGUGAAGUGUCCUGUCAAGUCAGGCAACGAGCGAGACCCGUGCUUCCAGUUGCAAACUCUGUUCCACGGAACAGGGAGCACUCUGGAGGGACUGCCGAUGCUAAAUCGGAGGAGGGAGCGGGCGACGGUAGGUCCGUAUGCCGCGAAUUUCCUGGGCUACACGCGGCCUACAAUGCCACGUACAAUAGGAUGCAACUCCGAAAGGAGAAGCCAACCCCGUAAAACGUGGCUAAGUUUGGAUUGAGGGUUGGGACUCACCCUCAUGAAAAUGGAAUCCCUAGUAAUCGCGAGUCACUAUCUUGCGGUGAAUACGUCCCUUCUCCUUGCACACACCGCCCGUCAAACCAUCCGAGUGAGGUCUAGACGAGGCGCAGUCCACCAAGGGCUGUGUCGAAUCUGGUCGUUGUGAGGAGGGUUAAGUCGUAACAAGGUAACC
RNAcentral lists this ribosomal RNA (1437 nucleotides) under uncultured euryarchaeote. RNAcentral describes it as "16S ribosomal RNA". It matches the Rfam family "Archaeal small subunit ribosomal RNA". Lineage: Archaea; Methanobacteriati; Methanobacteriota. The record is from RNAcentral.